CGGGGUGUGGCGUAGUUUGGAAGCGCGCUUGGUUUGGGACCAAGAGGUCGGGAGUUCAAAUCUCCCCACCCCGACCA
This 77-nucleotide transfer RNA is filed under the name Syntrophomonadaceae bacterium. Its description in RNAcentral is "tRNA-Pro". It matches the Rfam family "tRNA". From Rfam's summary of the family: Transfer RNA (tRNA) molecules are approximately 80 nucleotides in length. Their secondary structure includes four short double-helical elements and three loops (D, anti-codon, and T loops). Lineage: Bacteria; Bacillati; Bacillota; Clostridia; Eubacteriales; Syntrophomonadaceae. The record is from RNAcentral.